This 497-nucleotide ribosomal RNA is filed under the name uncultured bacterium. Its description in RNAcentral is "partial 16S ribosomal RNA". It matches the Rfam family "Bacterial small subunit ribosomal RNA", at positions 28 to 507 of the family's 1533-position model. The record is from RNAcentral.
GAUGAACGCUGGCGGCGUGCCUAAUACAUGCAAGUCGAGCGAACGGACGAGAAGCUUGUUUUUCUGAUGUUAGCGGCGGACGGGGGAGUAACACGUGGAUAACCUACCUAUAAGACUGGGAUAACUUCGGGAAACCGGAGCUAAUACCGGAUAAUAUUUUGAACCGCAUGGUUCAAAAGUGAAUGGCGGUCUUGCUGUUACUUAUAGAUGGAUCCGCGCUGCCUUAGCUAGUUGGUAAGGUAACGGCUUACCAAGGCAACGAUGCGUAGCCGACCUGAGAGGGUGAUCGGCCACACUGGAACUGAGACACGGUCCAGACUCCUACGGGAGGCAGCAGUAGGGAAUCUUGCGCAAUGGGCGAAAGCCUGACGGAGCAACGCCGCGUGAGUGAUGAAGGUCUUCGGAUCGUAAAACUCUGUUAUUAGGGAAGAACAUAUGUGUAAGUAACUGUGCACAUCGUGACGGUACCUAAUCAGAAAGCCCCGGCUAACUACGUG